Molecule: ribosomal RNA, 229 nt
Filed under: uncultured bacterium
Lineage: Bacteria
Description: partial 16S ribosomal RNA
Rfam family: Bacterial small subunit ribosomal RNA
Source: RNAcentral
UGAGCAACCUGCCCUCAGCUUUGGGAUAACCCUCGGAAACGGGGCUAAUACCGGAUAUUCACUGCUUCGCGCAUGUGGGGUGGUGGAAAGUUUUUCGGCUGGGGAUGGGCUCGCGGCCUAUCAGCUUGUUGGUGGGGUGAUGGCCUACCAAGGCGACGACGGGUAGCCGGCCUGAGAGGGCGACCGGCCACACUGGGACUGAGACACGGCCCAGACUCCUACGGGAGCA